RNAcentral lists this RNase P RNA (381 nucleotides) under Deltaproteobacteria bacterium RBG_16_42_7. RNAcentral describes it as "RNase P RNA component class A". It matches the Rfam family "Bacterial RNase P class A". From Rfam's summary of the family: Ribonuclease P (RNase P) is a ubiquitous endoribonuclease, found in archaea, bacteria and eukarya as well as chloroplasts and mitochondria. Its best characterised activity is the generation of mature 5'-ends of tRNAs by cleaving the 5'-leader elements of precursor-tRNAs. Cellular RNase Ps are ribonucleoproteins. Lineage: Bacteria; Deltaproteobacteria. The record is from RNAcentral.
GAAGUGAAAUGAGAUGGCCGCUGCCCCGAUGUUAUGUCGGGGUGGAGGAAAGUCCGGACUCCAUAGGGCAGGGAGGUCGCUAACGGCGACCGCCCCGAUGCAUCAUCGGGGCAGGGAAAGGACCACAGAAAAUAAACCGCCCCGAUGUUUCAUCGGGGUAAGGGUGAAACGGCGGAGUAAGAGCCCACCGCUCCGAUGGCGACAUCGGAGGCUCGGCAACCCCCUCCCGGAGCAAGACCAAAUAGGAAGGCAUUUAAGGAUGGCCCGUCUGUGCCUUCGGGUUGGUUGCUUGAGGUGCUGAGUAAUCAGCAUCCCAGAUGAAUGGCCAUCACCCCGAUGCAAUCGGGGAAACAGAAUCCGGCUUACGGUUUCACUUCAGCG